This 810-nucleotide ribosomal RNA is filed under the name Triticum aestivum (bread wheat). RNAcentral's name for it is "partial small subunit ribosomal RNA". Lineage: Eukaryota; Viridiplantae; Streptophyta; Magnoliopsida; Poales; Poaceae. The record is from RNAcentral.
AUGAACAAGCGGGCUAAGACGGCACAGCCGGAGGCGCAGACCACCAUCGUGGACUCCUCUAUCUUCCAGUUCAGAGUAGACUACCAGCAAAUCAAGGAGCUUCCUCUCGGCAAGUCCGUCUACUCUGACAUCGUCUCCGCCGGGGGACACCUUUGGAGGAUUGAGUGCUUCCCGCAUGGGGAGAGCGAGGCCAACAAGGGCGAGUAUGUUUCUAUCUUCCUCGACCAUUUGAGCAAAUCCAGAUGCGUCAGGGCCAUCUUGGAGGUCGACAUACUGGGUAGGGAUGGCAAACCAUCUAUGUCAGGCAUGCAAAGGACAUUUGAAACCUUUGGGAUCAAGGGAGACAAAGGCCUCGCCGAUUCUUGGGGGUGGGAUCGGUUCAUCAAGGGAACUAUUUUGGAGGAAGAUUACUUAAUAGGGAGACACGUCACGUUUCUAUGUGCCGUCAUGGUCAUCGAUGACAGUCCUAUUCCCCUGCCGCCUUCAGACAUUGGAACUCAUCUUGGCUGCCUGCUAGAUAACAAUGACGGGACAGAUGUGUCAUUCAUCGUCAAUGAUGAGACAUUCCAUGCUCACCGUGCGGUGCUUGCUGCCCGCUCACCGGUCUUUAGAGCAGAGCUCUUCGGUUCCAUGUCUGAGGCUACAAUGUCAUCCAUCACACUGCACGACAUCACACCUGCAACAUUUAAAGUUAUGCUUCGGUUCAUUUACACGGAUGAAUUGCCUGAGAAGACAGGCUUGAGGACUCCUCCGCUGAGAUGUUUCAGGAUCUACGCGCUGCGGCCGAUUGGUAUGCAUUGGAUCGUCUGA